RNAcentral lists this ribosomal RNA (123 nucleotides) under Frederiksenia canicola. Lineage: Bacteria; Pseudomonadati; Pseudomonadota; Gammaproteobacteria; Pasteurellales; Pasteurellaceae. The record is from RNAcentral.
CCUGAUGGCCAUAGUGCUGUGGUCCCACCUGAUUCCAUUCCGAACUCAGAAGUGAAACGCAGUGACGCCGAUGGUAGUGUGGGGUUUCCCCAUGUGAGAGUAGGGCACCAUCAGGGUUUUAUU